This 523-nucleotide ribosomal RNA is filed under the name uncultured bacterium. RNAcentral's name for it is "bacterial SSU rRNA". It matches the Rfam family "Bacterial small subunit ribosomal RNA", at positions 501 to 1025 of the family's 1533-position model. The record is from RNAcentral.
CUACGUGCCAGCAGCCGCGGUAAUACGGAGGGUGCGAGCGUUAAUCGGAAUAACUGGGCGUAAAGGGCACGCAGGCGGUGACUUAAGUGAGGUGUGAAAGCCCCGGGCUUAACCUGGGAAUUGCAUUUCAUACUGGGUCGCUAGAGUACUUUAGGGAGGGGUAGAAUUCCACGUGUAGCGGUGAAAUGCGUAGAGAUGUGGAGGAAUACCGAAGGCGAAGGCAGCCCCUUGGGAAUGUACUGACGCUCAUGUGCGAAAGCGUGGGGAGCAAACAGGAUUAGAUACCCUGGUAGUCCACGCUGUAAACGCUGUCGAUUUGGGGAUUGGGCUUUAAGCUUGGUGCCCGUAGCUAACGUGAUAAAUCGACCGCCUGGGGAGUACGGCCGCAAGGUUAAAACUCAAAUGAAUUGACGGGGGCCCGCACAAGCGGUGGAGCAUGUGGUUUAAUUCGAUGCAACGCGAAGAACCUUACCUACUCUUGACAUCCAUGGAAUCCUGUAGAGAUACGGGAGUGCCUUCGGGA